Molecule: ribosomal RNA, 520 nt
Filed under: uncultured bacterium
Lineage: Bacteria
Description: bacterial SSU rRNA
Rfam family: Archaeal small subunit ribosomal RNA
Source: RNAcentral
AACCUCCGCAAUGUGAGAAAUCGCGACGGGGGGAUCCCAAGUGCCAUUCUUAACGGGAUGGCUUUUCAUUAGUGUAAAGAGCUUUUGGAAUAAGAGCUGGGCAAGACCGGUGCCAGCCGCCGCGGUAACACCGGCAGCUCUAGUGGUAGCAAUUUUUAUUGGGCCUAAAGCGUCCGUAGCCGGUUUAAUAAGUCUCUGGUGAAAUCCUGCAGCUUAACUGUGGGAAUUGCUGGAGAUACUAUUAGACUUGAGACCGGGAGAGGUUAGAGGUACUCCCAGGGUAGAGGUGAAAUUCUGUAAUCCUGGGAGGACCGCCUGUUGCGAAGGCGUCUAACUGGAACGGUUCUGACGGUGAGGGACGAAAGUUAGGGGCGCGAACCGGAUUAGAUACCCGGGUAGUCCUAACUGUAAACGAUGCGGACUUGGUGUUGGGGUGGCUUUGAGCUGCUUCAGUGCCGAAGGGAAGCUGUUAAGUCCGCCGCCUGGGAAGUACGGUCGCAAGACUGAAACUUAAGGAAUU